GAUGAACGCUGGCGGCGUGCCUAACACAUGCAAGUCGAACGAAGCGCUUUUCUGGAGGUCCUCCGGGAAGGAAGGGGAAGCGACUGAGUGGCGGACGGGUGAGUAACGCGUGGGCAACCUGCCCCAUACAGGGGGACAACAGCUAGAAAUGGCUGCUAACACCGCAUAGGCGCACAGGGCCGCAUGGUCCGGUGCGGAAAACUCCGGCGGUAUGGGAUGGGCCCGCGUCUGAUUAGCCAGUUGGCGGGGUAACGGCCCACCAAAGCGACGAUCAGUAGCCGGCCUGAGAGGGCGACCGGCCACAUUGGGACUGAGACACGGCCCAA
RNAcentral lists this ribosomal RNA (326 nucleotides) under uncultured bacterium. RNAcentral describes it as "bacterial SSU rRNA". It matches the Rfam family "Bacterial small subunit ribosomal RNA", at positions 28 to 334 of the family's 1533-position model. The record is from RNAcentral.